Manis javanica (Malayan pangolin) is the source of this 2505-nucleotide non-coding RNA. NCBI's taxonomy places the organism in Eukaryota, Metazoa, Chordata, Mammalia, Pholidota, Manidae. The record is from RefSeq and is a predicted model, not a curated record.
GGCGACUGAGGAUGAGCGUUCGACCAGAUUGACUACAAUCACCGGCCGGCCACGCGACCGCUCUGGAGCGCUCUCCAAGCGCCCCGCCCACCCCCGGCGCGGGAGGUGUCUCCAGCAACCAAUCAGAGGUGGCUGAACAUUAAUCGCCGUUCUGUAUUACUGCCCAUCAUUUCACUGCUGACAAAUGGCGAGCCAGGGGGGAGGAGCCGGCCGGGUUGGGGCCCACGUGGGGGCCGGUCGUCGUCUGUAACUCAGACCAAUGAACAGAACGGGAUGGUGUUAGCGAAGGCGGGGAGAAGACAGCCCGCCCAAGGCGGAGCUUCGCCUUGGCUGACGUUCCUUAGCGCGAGCGUUCGAACCCGGGAAACAUUUGUUCAGCUGUCAAUCAAAAAUAAGAUGGAGGAUUCCUCUGGGCAGAUGGCUGUUGGGCAGUUGAAAUGUGGCCAGUCCAAGAUGAGAUUGGGUCACAGACAUAGUGGGAUGUGGAGGGCUGUCUGGACCUUGCCAUGAAGUCAACAGAAUGGACCCAUAACCCUGACUCAACAUCAGUAGCUACAGAGGUGGCAAUUCUCAUUCUGCAAAAAUCCUUGGUUAAAGAUAGCUGCUGGAAAUUUCUGCCAUUCUUAACAAAGCAUCUUUGUGCUCUAUCAGCUUGCAUUUUCCUUGGAUUGUAUUUGGAUGAUGCCUUUUCACUGACUUCAGCACUGGAGUAUUGUACCCCGGACACAGGAUUCCAGUGGCCCUUUUGCUAUCCAGACUGGGCAGAUGAAGGUUGCUGUUGAGAAAAAUAGAGGAGGAAAAUCACCCAGCUGGCAGAACUUGAGCUACCACAUUGGCCAAUUAAAGAACUCAAUAUACAGCCAGGGAAAUGAUUCAACACAUAGAUGCAAUGAGACCUACUGAAGUCAUCAUUUAUCUUAUUAUCCCUAACCAGCAGGAUUUUCAUAUUUGUGGAUGCAGGAUGCUGGAAUCACCCUCUUGCCAAGGCCACAUACACAUAAAACCUGAGGGCAACUCCGAAAGGAAACCAGAGUGCUCUGGCCAGGGAUCAAUAGCAGGGCUCAAUGCUAGCAGUAUUUGCCCUUGUGUGUGGUUUCUUCAUCUCCCAUUUCUGACUGGGAGGUUUUGAUUGGCAUUAUCCUAAUAUUCUUCCACCACUAAAUAUUAAUCUCAGAAAAGUCACAUUUUUCACCUAAUAGACAGGAACAGACAUCACUCUGUGAUACUGGAUAUUCAGCUAUUUGCAGUGAGGUGGACUGAAUACAUCUGUGUUUAUAUGUGGGAUUAUUACAUUGGUAAACUGGUGGCUCUAUUGGUUAUCUAUUUCCACAAAAAUUCUGUUAACAUGCAACCACAAAAUCCAGUGGUUUAAAAAAACAACCAUUUACUUAGCUCAUGAGUUUGUGGGUUGGUUGGGCAAUUCUUCAGUCUUGGUUAGGCUCUACUGAUUUUGGCUGAGCUUACUCAUGUGUCUGCAACUCAGCUGGUGGGUUGGCUGAGGGCUGCCUGAUCUACCUAGAAUGACCUGGCUCUACGGCCAGGAUCUUUAGAUUAGCUUGGUCCUGUUAUAACACUGGUGGUAGGCUUCUAAUAGAAGAACACAGGACCUUUUCAAGUUUAGGUUCAAAACUAGCCCACUCUCACUUCUAUCCUAUUCUAUUGGCCAUAUAUAUAUGUCAGAGGCCAACCUAGAUCCAAAGGAUGGCAAAAAACACCCAGCUUGGUGGAAGUUGCUGCAAAGGUACAUUGCAAAUGGUGUGGAUCGCAGGCAAAGUGGGGAACUGGAACCAUUUUUACAAUCAGUUAACCACAGAGUCUUUGGGGGAAAUUAUUUAAAUAGGAAGAAGAAACUGAUGAGAGAACUAGGUGGCCAAGAGAUGGCAAGCUUGUGGCAAUGAAACUAACAUUCAGAGAGAAGCCCAGAGGAAAGGAGGUGAAGAGACUCCUGGGAACAUGCUAGGUCCUGGUACAGUCAUCUCUGAACCUUGUCACACUCAUCCUUCCUAUGAAUUGGUUUUGGAAGGCAACCCUUCUGUCUUUAAAAAAAAUAAUAACCCAAGUUUAGAGCUGGUUCAUUAUAACCAAAGUCUACUACAGGUAUAAUUUUGAGAAAAAGUUCACCUGCCUCAAAACAUUCUCUCAUCUUCUCACAGCUAGAACCUAGCAGACAGAAUUGCUGUUUUCUCCAGUAACAAUUCAUUCUUUGGUGAUAGGAAGAUGCAUGAAUGGGAACGAGCCAGGCACUUGAGACCUCCAUGAAUGGCCUGGAAAACCUUCCCACCCCUGAUCUUGCAAACCAGUUUACACCUUUCAGCACUCAGCUCAAUGUCAGCCACAUUUUGAAGGUUCUUCCUCUUCUUUUUCUGCCACCUCCUAAUUAGUGGGCUUUUCCCCUUUGUGCUCCCAAAAUACUUCAGAUAUAUUUCUAGUAUAGCACCCAUGUAUCAUAUUUCACGCUCACAGCUCUAUAUGAUUUUCCCUUGUUGAAUUAUGAUCUCUUCCACA